Molecule: ribosomal RNA, 468 nt
Filed under: uncultured bacterium
Lineage: Bacteria
Description: partial 16S ribosomal RNA
Rfam family: Bacterial small subunit ribosomal RNA
Source: RNAcentral
GACGAACGCUGGCGGCGUGCUUAACACAUGCAAGUCGAACGGAAAGGCCUUGCUUUUUUGGUGUUCUCGAGUGGCGAACGUGUGUGUAACACGUGAGUAACCUGCCCUUGACUUUGGUAUAACUUCAGGAAACUGUGGCUUAUACCGGAUAGGAUCUUCUUCUGCAUGGUGUUGGUUGGAAAGUUUCGGCGGUUGGGGAUGGACUCGCGGCUUAUCAGCUUGUUGUUGGGGUAGUGGCUUACCAAGGCUUUGACGGGUAGCCGGCCUGAGAGGGUGACCGGCCACAUUGGGACUGAGAUACGGCCCAGACUCCUACGGGAGGCAGCAGUGGGGAAUAUUGCACAAUGGGCGGAAGCCUGAUGCAGCAACGCCGCGUGCGGGAUGACGGCCUUCGGGUUGUAAACCGCUUUCGCCUGUGACGAAGCGUGAGUGACGGUAAUGGGUAAAGAAGCACCGGCUAACUACGUG